Small nucleolar RNA from Humulus lupulus (European hop), 108 nucleotides. Lineage: Eukaryota; Viridiplantae; Streptophyta; Magnoliopsida; Rosales; Cannabaceae. The record is from RefSeq and is a predicted model, not a curated record.
AUAGCAUGGUGCGGGCACUGAUUUAACAGAUCUUUGAAUCUUUCCCAGACUUGAUAGAACGUUUCAUUGUCCUUUUGGAAAAUGUGGAAAUCUAUCGUUUUAGACUGU